UCGUAUACCUAAUUUUAUAUAAGGUUGAGCAACUGCAUAAGAUUUCAAUUUAGAUUUUCGAACAUUUGGUUUGUCGUGUGUGUAGUACCUUUGUUCAUUGUGGAGUUGGUGAUUGACUCUUAUUGUCUGUGUGCAUCUAGCCUGGUGUAUGAUCCAUAUCAAAAUCAAAUUUCGAGACAAAUGCGGCUGAAAGUUUUAUAAACGAAGUGAAGAGCUUGCAAGUGCACCUGUGGAAAAUUUAGAGCAAUGCAGAAGGUAAUGUUUUUUUUCUUUUGCUAAAUGCAGAAGGUAAUGUUGUGGCAGUAUCUAAUGGAAGUACUACUUUGGUGCCCAAAUCCUCCAUUGCGCGUAGUUUCAAAAUUGUCCAGUUUGCUGUAUUUUCUACCCAUGUGGCCUCUUUCAACAUAGCAGUCACUUGGUUUACCCUUUGCGAGUAUUCAAUCGUUUUCUAUUCCGGAACCAGUUUAUCGAAAAGUUGCACAUAAGUAAGGUAUUACCGCAGCAGUGUUGUUUAUUGAUUUAUUGUUUUGUGGGAUACCUGCGCAGCGGCCGCAGUGUUCUGAAUCUAAAUAGUUAAGUCUGGUUUUUAAUCACAUGGGAUAGCUCUUCGUGUAUAUUUCAUGUUGCUCGAUGUUGCCUUACUUUCACAUGAUGCCUUGAGAUCUGCUGUAAGCUAUCUCUUCGCGAGGCUUGUGAUAACCUCUAUACCUUCACAAAAUGUGGUCGACAUAUUGGUGUUUUAUUUGGAGUUAGUGAUUAUGAACUAUAUAAGUGGCAGGUUGUCGAGGCUUAUUGUUGAAUCAUAUUUCUAUUAUCUAUAACAAACAUGAAGAGAGGUAGGGGAAAAUAAGGUUUAAGGGCAGAAAACUCCAGCAAAAGUUCUUGCGAACAAUAAUACAAUAUUCCGAUAUGAUAAACUCUGAAUAAAUUACAAGAUAAUAUCCUAUAUACAUAAUAAUAAAAAAAAUCUUAAGUACUUCCUAAUACAGAUCAAAUUCUAAUGACUAAUAUAGUUAUGGAAUAUCAUCCUAGAUUAAUAUUAAACUUACUAAACUAUAUACUUGGGCUUCCAAAGCCUUCUAUAUUGUUCCCAAAUGGUUUAUUUUGGCUUUUUACCUUUUUUCCUACAUCAAAACAUGAUUAAUAUUUCAAGUAAGGGAUAGUAGAGUGGAGCACAUCAGUUUGAAGUUUAAUUGUCUUUGACUAUUUAAACUGGAAAAUCAAUCUCUCUACUGUAUAUUCUCAUCUACAACAUGAUUAAUUUUACUCGAUGUAAUAGUCUCUGAACACCUUUAGGAUGCUUGAAGAAAUGACGCAUCCAGCAGCAAUAACUAAACAUCUCCACUGCCUUGCUUUAAGGCUAGCGAAUGAACAUAAUUCAUGCAAAUGCACCCAUUUAGCUCCCCCCUCGCCAGAACUAUUUACAUGGGUAAGGAAAGAGAUGCGGAAAAAAAUAUGGUAUCAGAUGAGAGAAAAGGGAGUGAAGAAUUAACCUGGAUAUGGAUGUAGGUGGAUAGAAGUCAAUAACGAAAUGUUUUUAUUGCAAAAGAUAAUAUGUUCAUUUCUAUUUCUUUUAAGUGCUGAAGGUUACGGUUUUAAAAAAAAAUUAUAUCUUCUUAUAUUUCAACAACAAAUACAAAAUAAAAAGAUCUAAAAAUUAUAUCAAAAACCAAAUUCAAAAUAAAUGGAUCCAAAAAUUAUAUAUCAUAAAGAUCUUUUAAAUUAUUUUACAUUUUAUUUUUCUUUCAAUCGCGCGGAGCGCGUUUUUUUACCUAGUUUGACAAUGAAGAUUGCCGUAAUACACUUAUUAGCAACUUUCGUGAAGAAAGAUAUAUUUGAUCCGGGUUCUUCAUACAUAUUCUUUCAAAACCAAAAAUCAGCCUUGAUCGUUUAAAUUUUUUCUAAAACAUCAAUAUACUUAUAUAAAAGAGACGCGAGGGGCGUGUAGGUGGCGCCUCUCACAUCGCUCCGUUCUAUUUUUUUAAUUUUCUGAAAUUUUUGGAUGAAAAAUAUUUUCGGAUAUAUUAGAAGCAAGUUUCAGAAUCUGAUUUUGUUUCGAAUUAUAUAUGGAAUAUAGUAGCGUGAAAGUUUUAAUCUGAUUUUGUUUCAGAUUAUUUAAGUAUGGGAAAGAGUAGCACAUACUUAUAUAAAGGAGAAGCGAGGGGCGUAUAGGUGGCGCCUCUCACAUCGCUCCGUUCUAUUUUUCUAAUUUUCUGGAAUUUUUGGAUGAAAAAUAUUUUCGGAUAUAUUAGAAGCAAGUUUCAGAAUCUGAUUUUGUUUCAAAUUAUUUAUGGAAUAUAGUAGCUUGAAAGUUUUAAUCUGAUUUUGUUUCAGAUUAUUUAAUUAUCAGAAAGAGUAGCACACAAGUUUUUCUGCACCUAUAAAUAGCACACAAGUCUUUCUGCACCUAUAAAUACCCUUAUAGAUUAUAGGGUUUUGGAUCAUCCAAACACAACUUCCUCUCUCUCAAUACCACAACCCUACCUCUUUCUGGUGAUAGUUAUGUUGCUCGAUUUCUAACUCGGAGGUGCCGUUCUUCUGCAACAAGUGAAGGCUGUUUACAGUAUUAAAAAAAAUAAAGGCUGUUGCAAUCAAAGGUAGUUAUAGACCGUUAUAUUGGAGUCGACAAAUCCAAACACGGGAAAAGAAUAUAGUAUUGGCAUGAUAUUGAUGGUUGAUAUCAAUAAAUUAACUAUUAGUGAUGUAUGUUUGUUGGUUAUUCUCUUAUAAUAUUUGUUUUGUUCAUCUGACAUGUUUGUUUUUGUUAAUUUUUAUAUGAUUUACUUUGUAUACAGGAAAAAAUUAUUCAUGCAUUAUCUGUUUGCUCCGUUCAAGCAACUUUUAAGAAGGUAGUUAUAGACCGCUAUCUCACAGAUUUAAGUUAGAUAUUUUUGUGCGCAGUCAAUCCAAAAAAAUUGGAGGAAGGUGACAAUGUAAGAACAUGAUUACUUUUCAAAAAUAAAAAUAAAUAAAAUUAAGAUUCGUCAUGCUUUAAAUUGUUAAUUACGUAUUUUCAUUUUUUCACCAUGAAUUAUAGUCCAAUUUUGCAAUUUUAUAUAUUAGUAUUGGUAUUACAUCAAGAUUUUUAUAAUAUAAAUUUAUUUUAUCCUACAAAUAUUAAGUUUGAAACAUUAAUAUACUUUUUGUAGACAACCACAAAAUUAUUUUAUUCUACAAAUAUUAAUAUUGAAUCAUUAAUAUAAUUUUUAUAGGCCGCCGCAACGCGCGGCUUCUCAACUAGUUUAAAAAUAAAAAUAAACUUGAACAAAUCUAAAUAUUAACCACCACCGACAAGAGUUAGGCGUAAAUGUAAUUCAGCGACGGUUCGAAGAGUUGAACACUUGUCGGUUCGGGGGCAAGAGAAAGAGAGGUCGGCACCGUCCCACGUGGUCUGAUCAAUUAAGUUUGGACUGAGAGCCCUAAAUUUUACAGGGAUAUGACAUUUGAUAAGAAUGAUUGGCGAUGGCGUAUUAGAGUAGUUGAGACUCGAUCUCGUGGUUUACAGAGGUUUUGAGUGUUGGGGUGUUAUGCUUUAGGAAGAGGUUUGCAUCAAUCUCUUUUCUCACACGCCUUUAUCCUUGCAAUUCGUGAAAGGGAUGGUUCCUGAUUUCUUCAAUUGUUUCCUCCACCGGACUUUGCCACCGCUGAUGGGUAAUAUUUCGGUAAGUCUCAUGUGAAGAAGGCCAUGAGCUAAGGUAUUGUAGUAAUAUUGUAUCGCACAUCCUUUUAAUUAUUGUGCACUAAGCCGGGGUUCUUCACGGAAACAGCCUUUCUACUUUAAAGGUAGGGGCAGGGUUGCGUAUAUUUUACCCUUCUCAGACCCUACUUACUUUAAGCGGGAAUACCGACUAGGUAUGGUAAUGUAUGGUACCAACAAAAUUCAACCACAUUUAAACGUUUUUAAAACAUCUAAAAUAACUUGUACAAUUCUAAAUAAUUACCGUCACAUGGACACUAGUUUGGAGAUACUUCAUCCGUGUUUCUUAACUAUUUUACUUUUGAGAUAGAGAACUUGGCAUGAAUAUUAUAUAAAUAUUAUUUUUUAAAUUAUUUCUUUUUUCUAAAUAAAAAUUAAUUUCAAAGUAUUAAAUAUGAACUGAAGAAAUUAUACAUUAUAUAUAUCUUAAGAUACAUGUAAAGACACGAAAGAAAGUAAGAAAACAAGAGGAACAUAGCAAUGUUUUACUUUGAUAAUGGAGAAUAAAAUAUGUGAUUGCUCAGCGAACACCCAAACUAGGAUACACGCGAUGUCCAAUAUUAGCCAGGUUCAUUUUAGAAUCCAACAAAAUAAGGUUUUUCUGCACUUAAUUUAAUUUACUGAAAUACGUACAAAUAUUAGACAUAAAUCAGCCUCCUAUUUUUAUCUGACUUUUGAAUACAUUUGUUCAAAUUUUAUUUUGAAUGAUUAUGUUUUGUAUCAUAAUAAUCAAUCAUGUAUCAGAAUUCUUUUCGUUCUACAAAGAUUAUCAACUUGUUUGAGUCGGACAAUAAUAUUGGGGCCGUUUGGGUUAGCUUAAAAGAAGUGACUUCUUCGUUAUAGUAAAGAAGUGGAGUAGAAGUGAGAAGUAAAUAAGUUAAUAAAGUGUUUGGAAAAGAAGCAGAAGCUGUGAGAGAGAAGCUAGCAUUCUCAGCUUCUUAAAAGUGCUUCUACUUCUUUGCACAAACGGGUCAAGAGAAGCAGAAGUCAGAAGUAGAUUUUGAUUCUCUUGGCCAAACAGGCCCAUUAUCUCGAUCGAAUAAAAAAGUUCUAUGGGAAAAUAGUAAACAAGAGACAAGCUUGUCUCCUAGCGAAGCUUCACAUGAUUCCGACAAAAGAGACACCUUUGUAAACUUAAUGUGUACUGCAUCACUACACUCUAAAAAUCUUGCACAAUAUUGGUAAAGUUAAAGCAAACAAUCGUGAAUUAUCAUGUUAUAUGAAUUUGUUGAUAGAAUUGAAUUAUUUUUGCCAAUCAUAUUAUAAAUAUAUAGAUUGCACGAAAAACAACGACUUGAAAUAAUAUAAAAAAAAUUGCAUGGAUGGUAGAAGAAGAGUCCACGUCUUCGUGGGCCAAAACCUCGUACACCACCAAUUAUAAAAUCAUAUCUACAAGGAGCAUCUUGUUUAUGUUUGCCGACAUUAUUAUUCGUUUCCACCCAUGUAAUAUAUUCAGCCCGUCAUGUACUCAGUACUCUGGUCAUAAAGCCUUUUCUUCUGUUUCUUCACUAAUCAGUGUCAUAUUCUCGGACCAAUUUUUCUUAAAAUUUUAGUUAAUUAUUAAUAGUUCUAAAAAUUGGGAAUUUACAUUAUAAAUGAACUAGAUAUAUUUUAUGAUAAUAUAAUUUUUAAUUUUUCAAUCAAAUAAUAUAUAUAUAUAAAUUUUAA
Long non-coding RNA from Daucus carota subsp. sativus, 5365 nucleotides. RefSeq lists it as uncharacterized. The transcript is spliced from 3 exons. The record is from RefSeq and is a predicted model, not a curated record. NCBI's taxonomy places the organism in Eukaryota, Viridiplantae, Streptophyta, Magnoliopsida, Apiales, Apiaceae.